Jaculus jaculus (lesser Egyptian jerboa) is the source of this 130-nucleotide non-coding RNA. The record is from Ensembl. NCBI's taxonomy places the organism in Eukaryota, Metazoa, Chordata, Mammalia, Rodentia, Dipodidae.
UGGACAUUUACUAAUGUUUGGUUUCUUCUCAAGGUGAAGAUAAACUUUUGUGAAUGUCCUAGAGAAAUAUAGUAGCUUUCUGUUCACCCUUGGCAAGUAGAAAGGGUGGAUCGUUCCACUACUGACAUUU